CUGGGAGGACCAUCUCCUAAGGCUAAAUACUCUCUAGUGACCGAUAGUGAACCAGUACCGUGAGGGAAAGGUGAAAAGCACCCCGGAAGGGGAGUGAAAUAGAACCUGAAACCGUGUGCUUACAAGUAGUCAGAGCCCGUUAAUGGGUGAUGGCGUGCCUUUUGUAGAAUGAACCGGCGAGUUACGAUUUGAUGCAAGGUUAAGCAGUAAAUGUGGAGCCGUAGCGAAAGCGAGUCUGAAUAGGGCGUUUAGUAUUUGGUCGUAGACCCGAAACCAGGUGAUCUACCCUUGGUCAGGUUGAAGUUCAGGUAACACUGAAUGGAGGACCGAACCGACUUACGUUGAAAAGUGAGCGGAUGAACUGAGGGUAGCGGAGAAAUUCCAAUCGAACCUGGAGAUAGCUGGUUCUCUCCGAAAUAGCUUUAGGGCUAGCCUCAAGUGAUGAUUAUUGGAGGUAGAGCACUGUUUGGACGAGGGGCCCCUCUCGGGUUACCGAAUUCAGACAAACUCCGAAUGCCAAUUAAUUUAACUUGGGAGUCAGAACAUGGGUGAUAAGGUCCGUGUUCGAAAGGGAAACAGCCCAGACCACCAGCUAAGGUCCCAAAAUAUAUGUUAAGUGGAAAAGGAUGUGGCGUUGCCCAGACAACUAGGAUGUUGGCUUAGAAGCAGCCAUCAUUUAAAGAGUGCGUAAUAGCUCACUAGUCGAGUGACACUGCGCCGAAAAUGUACCGGGGCUAAACAUAUUACCGAAGCUGUGGAUUGUCCUUUGGACAAUGGUAGGAGAGCGUUCUAAGGGCGUUGAAGCAUGAUCGUAAGGACAUGUGGAGCGCUUAGAAGUGAGAAUGCCGGUGUGAGUAGCGAAAGACGGGUGAGAAUCCCGUCCACCGAUUGACUAAGGUUUCCAGAGGAAGGCUCGUCCGCUCUGGGUUAGUCGGGUCCUAAGCUGAGGCCGACAGGCGUAGGCGAUGGAUAACAGGUUGAUAUUCCUGUACCACCUAUAAUCGUUUUAAUCGAUGGGGGGACGCAGUAGGAUAGGCGAAGCGUGCGAUUGGAUUGCACGUCUAAGCAGUAAGGCUGAGUAU
RNAcentral lists this ribosomal RNA (1082 nucleotides) under Staphylococcus aureus. Its description in RNAcentral is "partial 23S ribosomal RNA". It matches the Rfam family "Bacterial large subunit ribosomal RNA", at positions 444 to 1532 of the family's 2925-position model. Lineage: Bacteria; Bacillati; Bacillota; Bacilli; Caryophanales; Staphylococcaceae. The record is from RNAcentral.